This 469-nucleotide ribosomal RNA is filed under the name Fusarium equiseti. RNAcentral's name for it is "eukaryotic LSU rRNA". The stretch from base 154 to 307 matches the Rfam family "5.8S ribosomal RNA". The record is from RNAcentral. Lineage: Eukaryota; Fungi; Ascomycota; Sordariomycetes; Hypocreales; Nectriaceae.
CAUUACCGAGUUUACAACUCCCAAACCCCUGUGAACAUACCUAUACGUUGCCUCGGCGGAUCAGCCCGCGCCCCGUAAAACGGGACGGCCCGCCCGAGGACCCUAAACUCUGUUUUUAGUGGAACUUCUGAGUAAAACAAACAAAUAAAUCAAAACUUUCAACAACGGAUCUCUUGGUUCUGGCAUCGAUGAAGAACGCAGCAAAAUGCGAUAAGUAAUGUGAAUUGCAGAAUUCAGUGAAUCAUCGAAUCUUUGAACGCACAUUGCGCCCGCCAGUAUUCUGGCGGGCAUGCCUGUUCGAGCGUCAUUUCAACCCUCAAGCUCAGCUUGGUGUUGGGACUCGCGGUAACCCGCGUUCCCCAAAUCGAUUGGCGGUCACGUCGAGCUUCCAUAGCGUAGUAAUAAUACACCUCGUUACUGGUAAUCGUCGCGGCCACGCCGUAAAACCCCAACUUCUGAAUGUUGACCU